RNAcentral lists this long non-coding RNA (668 nucleotides) under Astyanax mexicanus (Mexican tetra). RNAcentral's name for it is "lncRNA (ENSAMXG00005018764.1)". The record is from RNAcentral. Lineage: Eukaryota; Metazoa; Chordata; Actinopteri; Characiformes; Acestrorhamphidae.
CGCCGCUGCUGCCGCCGCUGCCGCCGCUGCUGCCGCUGUAGCUUAUCUCUCUGCAUUGCUAAUUAGGCAGCGGGGCGGCAAGAACUGCACAUGCUCUGCAAUCGUUCCCUGUCCGAGGUCAAAAGGUGCAUGUAGAGCUCGGCUGGAACGACACGGCGACGUACACACGUCUACUCAUGUAGACAAGCGGCAUGCACUGCUUUCUUACGAACCAUCGAAACCAGGAGGUGAAAAUACAUUAAUAUAUUUUACGAGGCAUCAUUUUGAAGAGUCUGUGGCCCGUGACUUCAAAUAUAUUUCUCCUUCUGGCCCCCAACAAAAAAAGUUUGAAAACCCCUGACAUAGGACAACUCUCUGCCUAAUUGGUCAGCGCCUUCGGUGUUGGAGACGGAUGGCGAUUGAUUUAUCGGCGCUGUAAUUCAUGUUGACAGUGGAACGUAUGGUCAUCACGGGAUUCAUAAAGGCACUGGAGAGGGAGGGGAAGAGUCAGCAGCCUGGCGAGAUGCUGAGCUGGAGCUUAAUGAGUGAAGAGCCAGAUGGCACCAGUCACGAUUCCAUCACAUCACAAUACCAUCCACUGCACUGUGCGUGGUAAUGCCAUCUAUGAUGGAUUCCUAGUAUAAACAUGACAGGAGGAAGAAGUAAUCCAACCUCACUCACAAGAUAAC